RNAcentral lists this ribosomal RNA (971 nucleotides) under Kocuria varians. RNAcentral's name for it is "bacterial SSU rRNA". It matches the Rfam family "Bacterial small subunit ribosomal RNA", at positions 31 to 1004 of the family's 1533-position model. Lineage: Bacteria; Bacillati; Actinomycetota; Actinomycetes; Micrococcales; Micrococcaceae. The record is from RNAcentral.
GAUCCUGCUGGCGGCGUGCUUAACACAUGCAAGUCGAACGCUGAAACUUGGUGCUUGCACUGGGUGGAUGAGUGGCGAACGGGUGAGUAAUACGUGAGUAACCUGCCCUUAACUCUGGGAUAAGCCUGGGAAACUGGGUCUAAUACUGGAUAUGACAUGUCACUGCAUGGUGGCGUGUGGAAAGGGUUUUACUGGUUUUGGAUGGGCUCACGGCCUAUCAGCUUGUUGGUGGGGUAAUGACCCACCAAGGCGACGACGGGUAGCCGGCCUGAGAGGGUGACCGGCCACACUGGGACUGAGACACGGCCCAGACUCCUACGGGAGGCAGCAGUGGGGAAUAUUGCACAAUGGGCGAAAGCCUGAUGCAGCGACGCCGCGUGAGGGAUGACGGCCUUCGGGUUGUAAACCUCUUUCAGCACGGAAGAAGCGAGAGUGACGGUACGUGCAGAAGAGGCGCCGGCUAACUACGUGCCAGCAGCCGCGGUAAUACGUAGGGCGCAAGCGUUGUCCGGAAUUAUUGGGCGUAAAGAGCUCGUAGGCGGUUUGUCGCGUCUUCUGUGAAAGCCCGGGGCUUAACCCCGGGUGUACAGUGGGUACGGGCAGACUUGAGUGCAGUAGGGGAGACUGGAAUUCCUGGUGUAGCGGUGAAAUGCGCAGAUAUCAGGAAGAACACCGAUGGCGAAGGCAGGUCUCUGGGCUGUUACUGACGCUGAGGAGCGAAAGCAUGGGGAGCGAACAGGAUUAGAUACCCUGGUAGUCCAUGCCGUAAACGUUGGGCACUAGGUGUGGGGGACAUUCCACGUUUUCCGCGCCGUAGCUAACGCAUUAAGUGCCCCGCCUGGGGAGUACGGCCGCAAGGCUAAAACUCAAAGGAAUUGACGGGGGCCCGCACAAGCGGCGGAGCAUGCGGAUUAAUUCGAUGCAACGCGAAGAACCUUACCAAGGCUUGACAUACACCGGACCGGUCCAGA